NNNNNNNNNNNNNNNNNNNNNNNNNNNNNNNNNNNNNNNNNNNNNNNNCACCCGGACACUGCCCCGGACACCCGGACACUGCCCCGGACACCGGGACACUGCCCCGGGCACCCGGACACUGCCCCGGCACCUGCUCCUAGAGCGGCCCCGGGCACCUGUGCCAGCCCCGGGUACCUGUCCUGGUCCCUGUCCCGGGUAUGUGUCCCAGCCCUGGGGACCUGGCCCGGUGACCUGUCCCAGCCCCAGGUACCUGUCCCAGCCCCGGGUAUUUGUCCCAGCCCUGGGGACCUGUCCCGGUUCCGGGGACCUGUCCCGGGUCCCUGUCCCGGUGACCUGUCCCAGUCCCGGGUACGUGUCCCAGCCCUGGGGACCUGUCCCAGCCCCAGGUACCUGUCCUGGGCCCCUGUCCCCGGUACCUGUCCCAGCCCCAGGUACCUGUCCCAGUCCCGGGUAUGUGUCCCAGCCCUGGGGACCUGUCCCGGUCCCGGGGACCUGUCCUGGGUACCUGUCCCAGCCCCAGGUACCUGUCCUGGUGACCUGUCCCAGCCCCGGGGGCCGCCCCAGAACCUUCCCCCAGCACCUUUCCCCACCAGCAGCUCCCAGGCACUGCCCCAGCCAAGAUCUGUCCUCCCCUUGCCCAUCGCAGAGGUUGGGUCUGAAGGGCUCCUCAGGAAUUUCAGGAGUGUCAGCAUGGAGCAGUGCUCAGGGACAGCACAGAACGAGCUGCAGCAAUAAAUCAAUUAUCAGGUGUGCUGUGGGCUGAGCUUUGUCAGUGUGGUGUUCUCUGUGCAGAGCCUUGUGCUGCUCCUGUCACGGGCAGAGCACUUCACCUUUUGGGUCCAGCUCAGAAGUGUCCUGGGAGCUCUAAAGCAGCUGCUGUUUCUCAGAGCACUCCCCAGGGCUGCUCCCCAUGGGACAGGCACUGGAUAGACCUGUCACCUGUCACCCAAAAAUGUUCAGCUCAUCCCAGCUCAGGUGGGAAGGGACCUCUGGAGGUCACCUGGUCCAGCCCUGCUCAGGCAGGGUCUCCU
RNAcentral lists this long non-coding RNA (1031 nucleotides) under Lonchura striata (white-rumped munia). RNAcentral describes it as "domestica (Bengalese finch) lncRNA (ENSLSDG00000016686.1)". Lineage: Eukaryota; Metazoa; Chordata; Aves; Passeriformes; Estrildidae. The record is from RNAcentral.